CAGGCCUAACACAUGCAAGUCGAGCGGAAACGGCAGUAUUGAAGCUUCGGUGGAUUUACUGGACGUCGAGCGGCGGACGGGUGAGUAACGGCUGGGAACCUGCCCUGACGAGGGGGAUAACCGUUGGAAACGACGGCUAAUACCGCAUAAUGUCUUAGUUCAUUACGAGCUGGGACCAAAGGUGGCCUCUACAUGUAAGCUAUCGCGUUGGGAUGGGCCCAGUUAGGAUUAGCUAGUUGGUAAGGUAAUGGCUUACCAAGGCAACGAUCCUUAGCUGGUUUGAGAGGAUGAUCAGCCACACUGGGACUGAGACACGGCCCAGACUCCUACGGGAGGCAGCAGUGGGGAAUAUUGCACAAUGGGGGAGACCCUGAUGCAGCCAUGCCGCGUGUGUGAAGAAGGCCUUCGGGUUGUAAAGCACUUUCAGCGGUGAGGAAGGUCGUGUACUUAAUACGUGCACGGCUUGACGUUAGCUGCAGAAGAAGCACCGGCUAACUCCGUGCCAGCAGCCGCGGUAAUACGGAGGGUGCGAGCGUUAAUCGGAAUUACUGGGCGUAAAGCGCAUGCAGGCGGUUUGUUAAGUCAGAUGUGUAAGCCCGGGGCUCAACCUCGGAACCGCAUUUGAAACUGGCAGGCUAGAGUCUUGUAG
This 649-nucleotide ribosomal RNA is filed under the name uncultured bacterium. RNAcentral describes it as "bacterial SSU rRNA". It matches the Rfam family "Bacterial small subunit ribosomal RNA", at positions 43 to 654 of the family's 1533-position model. The record is from RNAcentral.